UCGCUCUGCAACAUGCAUGCAGCCAUUUUUAUUAGUCUGUGUGUGUGCGCGUGGAGUCGUCGCGUGAUAAUUAGGCUAGUGUAAAUUAACUAAAAGGUGGUGUUUUUGACAGUGACCUUUGUGACAUAUAUUAUCAGUGCAUGUGCGCCUCAUACGGAAGUACGUGGAUGGGAUCGGAUCGGAGUGCACUUCCUGAAGCGAUGGUGAAGAGUUCGUAUCUUACAGGAACAUACACGCAUGCGUCUCCAUGCCAGCGUGUCGUGGGAACACUGGUCAUGCUUGGAAUAAUGAUGAUGAUUAACAUGGUGAUGUCUCCAUGAAACUGACUCGCUGACGGGAUGGACAAAGAAAGCACUAACGAAAAGGAACAAACCGAGUCUGGUCUAUCUACCCGUCGUGGCGCACGGCGUCAACUGUGUUGGAGGGUUGCCACUAGCUAGGGGCAACUGUUCGCUGUCGAAGAAGGAAAGCGGAAAGCAUGUUAUACCAGAAACCACCCAAAGGAAACUUUCAGUAUCAAGGGACGGACACGCACGUAUUUUGUCAAUCCAUCCGUCUGCUUCCUCCUGCUAGUGUCUCUGGAUGUAGCAGAU
This is a non-coding RNA of Zootermopsis nevadensis, 593 nucleotides long. NCBI's taxonomy places the organism in Eukaryota, Metazoa, Arthropoda, Insecta, Blattodea, Termopsidae. The record is from RefSeq and is a predicted model, not a curated record.